Long non-coding RNA from Cebus imitator (Panamanian white-faced capuchin), 1211 nucleotides. RefSeq lists it as uncharacterized. The record is from RefSeq and is a predicted model, not a curated record. The transcript has 3 exons. Lineage: Eukaryota; Metazoa; Chordata; Mammalia; Primates; Cebidae.
AAUGCAACACUAGGAGGUGCCCUGGGUUAAGUUCCUGGUGAGGAGAGAUGAAAUGGGAAAGGACGUCUCUGUCUGGAGGGAUUCAUGCUCCUUGGUAUCUACCCAAAGAAGAUGAAAACACGUCCACAUGGAAACCACUGAUGGAUGUUUCUAGCAGCUUUAUUCAUCAUGGCCGAAUCUUGAAAGCAACCAAGAUAUCCUUCAGUAGGUAAAUAGAUAAAUAAACCAUGACCAUCCUGAAGUGGAAUAUUAUUCAGUGCCAAAAAAAAGUGAACUACAAAGCCAGGAAAAGACAUGGAAGAACCUUAAAGGUACAUUACUGAGUGAAAGAAGCCAAUCUGAAAUGGCUACGUAUUGUACAAUUCCAACUAUGUGACAUUCUAGAAAAGGAAAUCUAUGGAGGCAGGAAAACGUGCAGUGGUUGCCAGGGUUAGGGAAGGCGGAUUGACUAGGCAGAGCAUGGAGGACUUCUACAACAGUGAGACUACUCCGUAUUAUCCUAUAAUGGUGGAUACACAUCAUGACACAUUUGUCCAGACCCACAGAAUGUACAACACCAAGAGUGAAGCCUCAUGUCAACUAUGGACUUUGGGUGAUUAUGAUGUCCAUGUAGGUUCAUCACUUGUCACCAAUGUGCCACUCUGGUGGGGGAUGUCGACAGUGGGAAAGGCUACAUGUGUGGGCACAGGGGGCAUACGAAAAAUCUCUGUAACUUUCCUCUCAGUUUUGCUCUGAAUCUAAAACUACUCUGUAAGAAGUCUUUUUAAAAAAAUAAAAAUAAAAAGCAUGAGUUGAUACAGAUGUGGGAGUUUGACUCCUAUCUCUGUCCAACUCUGUGACAUUUGAUAAAUCACUUAACGUGUCUUAGUUUGAGUUUCCUCAUCUAUAACUGGGAAAAAUAAUACCUACCUUAUAGAGCUGCCAUGGGGAGGCAGUGAGGCCUGUGUCCCGUUCAUAUCUGAUGUUCAAUGAACUAGUAGCAGUAGCCACUGUGUGUUUAUGUGUCUUUCUCCCUCACGGGUUAAUGAGCUCCUUGUGAGCAGGGACUUACUCGUUCUGUAACCACCCCAUCUAAUACACUGCCUGGCACCUGGGUUCUGUAGCAGUUUGCUGAGUGAAUAGUUAGUAAGCCCUAACCGAGGCUUUUCUCUCUGGUGGACAUUUGGGUUGCUUCUUGGGUUUUUGUUAUGAACAAAAUACAUUUCAAAGCC